UACAGAGGGUGCGAGCGUUAAUCGGAAUUACUGGGCGUAAAGCGUGCGUAGACGGUUAUUUAAGUCGGGUGUGAAAGCCCGAGGCUCAACCUCGGAACUGCCUUCGAUACUGCGGGUCUCGAGUCCGGGAGAGGUGAGUGGAAUUCCUAGUGUAGAGGUGAAAUUCGUAGAUAUUAGGAAGAACACCAGUGGCGAAGGCGGCUCACUGGCCCGGUACUGACGCUGAGGCGCGAAAGCCAGGGGAGCAAACGGG
This 253-nucleotide ribosomal RNA is filed under the name uncultured bacterium. RNAcentral's name for it is "partial 16S ribosomal RNA". It matches the Rfam family "Bacterial small subunit ribosomal RNA", at positions 524 to 776 of the family's 1533-position model. The record is from RNAcentral.